CGUUGUAUAGACGUCACAUUU
RNAcentral lists this microRNA (21 nucleotides) under Monodelphis domestica (gray short-tailed opossum). RNAcentral's name for it is "Mdo-Mir-7371-P33_5p* (star (passenger))". Lineage: Eukaryota; Metazoa; Chordata; Mammalia; Didelphimorphia; Didelphidae. The record is from RNAcentral.